This 445-nucleotide ribosomal RNA is filed under the name uncultured bacterium. RNAcentral's name for it is "SSU rRNA". It matches the Rfam family "Bacterial small subunit ribosomal RNA", at positions 26 to 518 of the family's 1533-position model. The record is from RNAcentral.
AGAGCGAACGCUGGCGGCAGGCCUAACACAUGCAAGUCGAGCGCCCGUAGCAAUACGGGAGCGGCAGACGGGAUAGUAACACGUGGGAACGCGCCCUUCGGUUCGGAAUAACUCAGGGAAACUUGAGCUAAUACCGGAUACGCCCUUACGGGGAAAGAUUUAUUGCCGAAGGAACGGCCCGCGUCCGAUUAGCUAGUUGGUGAGGUAAUGGCUCACCAAGGCGACGAUCGGUAGCUGGUCUGAGAGGAUGACCAGCAUCACUGGGACUGAGACACGGCCCAGACUCCUACGGGAGGCAGCAGUGGGGAAUAUGGACAAUGGCGCAAGCCUGAUCCAGCCAUGCCGCGUGAGUGAUGAAGGCCUUAGGGUUGUAAAGCUCUUUCAGUGGGGAAGAUAAUGACGGUACCCACAGAAGAGCCCCGGCUAACUUCGUGCCAGCAGCCGC